Molecule: non-coding RNA, 100 nt
Filed under: Oryzias latipes (Japanese medaka)
Lineage: Eukaryota; Metazoa; Chordata; Actinopteri; Beloniformes; Adrianichthyidae
Source: Rfam by way of RNAcentral
CAGCUCCUGACCAAACAUCAUCAUCAGCGUAAAUUCACUCUGGAUUGUUCACCCACUAAUAGUGAACGUGAGCUGGGAUUAGACCGUCGUGAGACAGGUU